This 3121-nucleotide long non-coding RNA is filed under the name Mus musculus (house mouse). RNAcentral's name for it is "long non-coding RNA chr12:29054338-29057459". Lineage: Eukaryota; Metazoa; Chordata; Mammalia; Rodentia; Muridae. The record is from RNAcentral.
CAGGGUGGAAGAUGGCCUUCCUGAAUAAAAUACAACAUAUCAGAAGUACCACUCAUCAGACUAGCGUCCUCUUCCUCUCAUAGAAGAAGUUAGCUUGAUGUUGUAAGAGCAAUCCAUCACUGUCCCAGGACCGUGAGGGCAGACUCUGGGGGAGGCUGAAUAGGCCUGGUGACUGGUCCCUUAAGGGAAGCUGGCAGUCCUCCAGCCGUGGUGAGCCAGGCCAGACUGCUUAUGUCGAAGCAGCCUUUGUGCUGCCAGCUGCCAGGUGGCCUUUUGCUCACAGCUCACCACAUUCAGCAGGUGCACGGGAAGCCAUUGUCUUACAUCAGCCCUUCAGUGAGAUUGCCCAGGUGCCGAGGGAUGCAUGCUAAGACUCACACGGAGACAGACAAGUCAGUGGAGGCCACAUGUGAUUCCUUAGAACACAAGUGAGUGGAAGAAGAGGGGGCUCAACAGGAUUUUGAGGAUCCCGAUGUUAGGAGACUCCACAGAGGCACAAAGUAUGAGUGUGUGUGAAUCUGUGUGCCCACAUGUUUGUGAGCACAUGCAUGUAGCCAUGAAUGCAUGUGUCUGUGUACUUGUAUGUACCCAUGUGUCUGUAUGGCUGUAUGGGCAUAUGUGUGCAUGUGCACAUGUAUACCUGCGUGCAUGUGUUCUUGUGAGGCAGGAAGGACUGGAAAACUGGGUCCUGACCUUGUCACAGUGUGAGGGGACACUGUGUGAGUUGACAGAGUGAGUCACAGGGACAGGAAGGUUUUUGUUGCCCACCACAGGGGGCUCUCAGCACUGUUUCUUCCCAGGGUCCCCUUGUGAGGACUCAGCGGGCACCAAUCCCUCGACCUGGACUAGGACAAUGUACUCAGAGAGCCCACUCAGUUCUGUCAUCUGGGGAUUUGCUAUACUUUAAAGAAAUUCUCAGGGUUCUAGUUUCAUUCUGUUGCUAUGACAAAGCACUGACCCUAAAUGACUUGGAUAGGAAGGGGUUAUUUCAUCUUCUCUCUAGCUUACAGUCCAUCCCUGAGGGAAACUGUGGCCAUUAGAGGAACACUGCUUGCUGGCUCCUCUCUCUGGCUCACUCCCAAGCUCAUCUUUGGUAUCUUUUCUUAUUCAGCACAGGGCCUGCAUAGGGUAGUACUGUCCACAGUGGGAUGGGCUGUUCUGUAUCUGUGUGUAAUCAAGACAGACCUUCACAGACAUUCCCACAGGCCAGUCUGAUGGAGGCAAUCCCCAACUGAAGCGCUCCUGUCAGAUGAGCACCGGCUCUGUGUUAGCAAUUACAGCUAACAGAGAAACCCAGGCAGGUAAUAAGCUACAGGACCUUGCACAGUGCUAGGCUCUUGUGUUUACACUUCUGGUAUUUGAUCCUGCAGCCCUGUCCAGAAGCAUUCCUAAUAGGCUUUGGGGAACUGAAGAGUAUAUACCCCUAGACCAGUAGUUGACAUAAUUGUGGAGCAAUCGAGACGGAAUGUGGGAGGUGGGUCAUGAGGAAGAAUGGCUUAGGUACUCAGAGCAACAGAGGCCUAAGGAUCUCAGUCCUGGGAUGUCAUCUCAUCCCACUUGUGCCAAACCUAUGCUGUCAGAGCAAGACUCAUGCUUCAGAGAGUGGUCCAGGGCCCAGAGAAGGGAAAGCUGAGUGCAUUGUGGCAUCUGUAAUGAGGCCAUAGGGCAGAAGGGGACUUGAUGAAGUCAUUACAAAACAAGGCUUGCCUUUUAAGCCUCUGAGACUACUUCUUAAGCUACUUCUUAAGUACUUCUUGUACUGGCGUGACUUUGGGAUUUCCAUUUUAUAAUUGUUGCAAAACUUCAUUCAGCAUCCAACGUGAAGUGAGGAUCAACUCUCUUAUCUAUGAACUUCUCUGUUUCAUUCAUUCUCGGAAUGUCUUUACUGUCCGUCAGACAAACUCUUUCUGUGAUAGGUUGAGUUCCCAAGGAGCUGAAGGUUGAGGGCACCAGGUUGCAGGUUCCAGUGUGUUUGAGGUUGGUGUUUCUUGGGCUACUUUUGGCUGAAGUCUUCGGGGUUAUCAACACACGGUGGAGAAGGCUAGAUGUAUAGAGCCAGCUUGCUUGGUCAGGGACAUUCUAGAACAGAUGUUCAAAAAUCAUAGGUAAGCAGGACAUGCCUUACCCAAGGCUUGUGCUUGGGAUAGCCUAUGCCUCAGCUGUGUGCCCUCAGGGUCAGAAGACCCUUCCAUUAAGCAGAGAGCCUGACGUGGCUGUCUUAGAAAGGUGUGAGGUCCCUCAGGGUGCCUUUGAGGUGUGCAGUUUCUCAGGGCCUCAGUGGCAUCCCACCUAAUACUUGGGUCCAUUUUUGAAAGUCACAUUUAGCCCCAAGAUCACUGUAACCAGUGUGACAGAGGAGGGAGACUCAUGGGCAUGAAUGACUUGAGAGAGAUGGUAAAGUCUAUCAGGUAGUCUCAGGGCCUCCAGAAGGCAGAGGAACUCUACGGGGAGGGCCCUGUCAACGGACUGUGUCACGUGGUUUUGGUAUGAGAUUUCAGGUGCUUCCAAACUGUGAGGUGUGUGUGUGUGUGUGUGUGUGUGUGUGUGUGUGUGUGUGUGUGUGUGUGUGUAAAAUCUUGGUUUUGUUGCCAGGCAGACACAGCACAACCACUCUAGGAAGCCCAAAGAAUAAAUAUCCGGACACUCAGUAACUCUAUGUUGGCUUUCAUGCUCACCAGCAUCUUAUUCCUAUAAUUAAAAGUCUUGCAAGAUACUGCAGAUGUGUGGGCCAGGAACCUCCAGGUCAUGUGUGAUCAAGGACAUAGUGCUGCUGCCUGCUCCCCUCAUUAGCCAUGCAGAGGGGGGUGGGGCAUUGAUCAGAGCUGCUAAGGUAUCCUAGCACAAGCAAGGAGAGUGCAUCUCAGGUUUGCAGGGCUUCAGCUGCGUUACCUGCCUCUCUGCAGAGGAGACUUAGCCUGGUUUAUCAGUCAAGGCCAUGAGUGAUCAGACAGAGUGAAAGUGAAUUCUGCUUUGUCUUUUAGAGGAGCAGCCUGUGUUCAGAUGGGAGCCUACAUCAAUUUGGCGGCUGUAGAGACAGAUACCAGACAGCCAAGGCAGAGGGAACUGGCAUGAGGUGAAUGAAGAUACUGUCCAGUCUCUGUAAGCCCCCUUCCUCCAGGCA